Molecule: ribosomal RNA, 498 nt
Filed under: uncultured bacterium
Lineage: Bacteria
Description: bacterial SSU rRNA
Rfam family: Bacterial small subunit ribosomal RNA
Source: RNAcentral
AUUGAACGCUGGCGGCGUGCUUAACACAUGCAAGUCGAUCGGUAACAGGUGUAGCAAUACAUGCUGACGAGAGGCGGACGGGUGAGUAAUGCUUGGGAAUCUGCCUAUUAGUGGGGGACAACCCGGGGAAACUCGGGCUAAUACCGCAUACGCUCUACGGAGGAAAGCCGGGGACCGCAAGGCCUGGCGCUAAUAGAUGAGCCCAAGUCGGAUUAGCUAGUUGGAGGGUAACGGCCUACCAAGGCGACAAUCCGUAGCUGGUCUGAGAGGACGACCAGCCACACCGGAACUGAGACACGGUCCGGACUCCUACGGGAGGCAGCAGUGGGGAAUAUUGGACAAUGGGGGCAACCCUGAUCCAGCGACGCCGCGUGGGUGAAGAAGGCCUGCGGGUUGUAAAGCCCUUUCGGUGGGGAAGAAAAGUCUCGACCUAAUACGUCGGGACCUUGACGUAACCACUAAAGAAGCACCGGCUAACUCUGUGCCAGCCGCCGCCGU